This 283-nucleotide long non-coding RNA is filed under the name Nicotiana benthamiana. RNAcentral describes it as "long non-coding RNA (NBEN_LNC001606)". Lineage: Eukaryota; Viridiplantae; Streptophyta; Magnoliopsida; Solanales; Solanaceae. The record is from RNAcentral.
GGAAGUCAUCCUAUCCUUUUUAAGGUGACUCUUGAGUUUAAGGUCAGUGCAUAGUUCUAAGGCUGUGGUGUUUAUAAGACUAACGAUGUCUCCAUAAGUCAUUAGGUCGUAGGGUAUCUUACCGCCACACCUAUCUCUGAUCUUAUAUCUAACCUUUUCGGCGAAUAAAGGAGGAAGACCGCUAAUAAACCUCUCUUUCCAGAAGUCGCUAUUGCAGUCGGGUCUAGUCAUAAUUUUGACCAUAAAUUGGUCUUUAUACCACCUAAAAUCACUAAGUUUAGGG